Molecule: ribosomal RNA, 253 nt
Filed under: uncultured bacterium
Lineage: Bacteria
Description: partial 16S ribosomal RNA
Rfam family: Bacterial small subunit ribosomal RNA
Source: RNAcentral
UACGUAGGGGGCUAGCGUUGUCCGGAAUCAUUGGGCGUAAAGAGCGUGUAGGCGGCCCGGUAAGUCCGCUGUGAAAGUCGGGGGCUCAACCCUCGGAUGCCGGUGGAUACUGUCGGGCUCGAGUGCGGAAGAGGCGAGUGGAAUUCCUGGUGUAGCGGUGAAAUGCGCAGAUAUCAGGAGGAACACCAAUUGCGAAGGCAGCUCGCUGGGACGUUACUGACGCUGAGGCGCGAAAGCGUGGGGAGCAAACAGG